Molecule: ribosomal RNA, 253 nt
Filed under: uncultured bacterium
Lineage: Bacteria
Description: partial 16S ribosomal RNA
Rfam family: Bacterial small subunit ribosomal RNA
Source: RNAcentral
UACAGAGGGUGCAAGCGUUGUUCGGAAUUACUGGGCGUAAAGCGUGCGUAGACGGUUAUUUAAGUCGGAUGUGAAAGCCCCGGGCUCAACCUGGGAAUUGCAUUCGAGACUGAAUAGCUAGGGUGCGGUAGAGGGAAGCGGAAUUUCCGGUGUAGCGGUGAAAUGCGUAGAUAUCGGAAGGAACAUCAGUGGCGAAAGCGGCUUCCUGGACCAGCACCGACGUUCAGGCACGAAAGCGUGGGGAGCAAACAGG